This 846-nucleotide small RNA is filed under the name Histoplasma ohiense. RNAcentral describes it as "hypothetical lncRNA". Lineage: Eukaryota; Fungi; Ascomycota; Eurotiomycetes; Onygenales; Ajellomycetaceae. The record is from RNAcentral.
CAUGUACAGGGCUGGAUAGGCCGGAUGCCAGCCCGAUAAAUGCCGAAUUACUAGUACAGUGUAUUGCAAAAAUUUACCCUGGGGAUUAAGCCUAUAGGACAAGGCGGUGCAACACUGCUAACGCGAAUGUAAGGAAAGCCUCGAUAAAGCCAUCGGCAUUGGUCCGCCGUAAGUGUUGCGCCUGUGGUAGUGACCAUAUUAGAGGUACCGAGAUCAGAGCCACCCUGUGGGCAUGAGCUUGGAAGCCUAGAAUUCGAGAAAAUAUCGAGGGAAAAUUCCCCAAUAUAUCACCCUGUCACGCGUUGUUAGCUAUGAUCUUAUUCAAACAAGUAACGGGAUUGGCGGCUGAAUCGCUCGAGUAUUUUGAUGUGUGGCUACCGCAUCCGGCCACAGGAAGAACCAUUCUAACAGACUGUGGUGGCUCCAACUAAAAGGUAUCCAUUCAUAAUAUUGAACAAAGCCCACGAGAUACUCGAACAUUGAAAGACAGUAUCUUGGGGACAAGGGAGUUGUGCAGCAUUGAAACUUUUUCGCUGGAGAAUAACACUGUGUUGAUGAACUAAACAAGAUAUCUCUGCAUGUGUUGCUGAGAUGCAACGGGGAGGCAUUACACCCACUCUAAAAUGUGAUGGCAUUAUUUUUCAAAACAUUGCUGCAAAUUUGGGGAGUGUUUCGUGCUGUUGAAAUGUGAGCAACUCAUAUUUGCCAUUAUUGUUCACCACUAUUUCAUUCCCCAUAAAUUUUGCAAGAUCAAUAAACACCAUAUAUAAUCCCGCUGCUAGCAGGAACGAACAUGUACACACAAUUAAUAAUAAACAUCAAGACGUGAAACCUGAACAGACUGGC